ACAGAUGACCGAGUGGUUAAGGUGUAAGAUUCGAAAUCUUAUGGGUAUCCCCGCGCAGGUUCGAUUCCUGUUCUGUG
Molecule: transfer RNA, 77 nt
Filed under: Mesodinium rubrum
Lineage: Eukaryota; Ciliophora; Litostomatea; Cyclotrichida; Mesodiniidae
Also listed under: 1 other name
Rfam family: tRNA
About the family: Transfer RNA (tRNA) molecules are approximately 80 nucleotides in length. Their secondary structure includes four short double-helical elements and three loops (D, anti-codon, and T loops).
Source: RNAcentral